UACGAAGGGGGCUAGCGUUGCUCGGAAUCACUGGGCGCAAAGGGUGCGUAGGCGGGUCUUUAAGUCAGGGGUGAAAUCCUGGAGCUCAACUCCAGAACUGCCUUUGAUACUGAAGAUCUUGAGUGCGGGAGAGGUGAGUGGAACUGCGAGUGUAGAGGUGAAAUUCGUAGAUAUUCGCAAGAACACCAGUGGCGAAGGCGGCUCACUGGCCCGAUACUGACGCUGAGGCACGAAAGCGUGGGGAGCAAACAGG
This 253-nucleotide ribosomal RNA is filed under the name uncultured bacterium. RNAcentral describes it as "partial 16S ribosomal RNA". It matches the Rfam family "Bacterial small subunit ribosomal RNA", at positions 524 to 776 of the family's 1533-position model. The record is from RNAcentral.